RNAcentral lists this ribosomal RNA (309 nucleotides) under uncultured bacterium. Its description in RNAcentral is "bacterial SSU rRNA". It matches the Rfam family "Bacterial small subunit ribosomal RNA", at positions 498 to 793 of the family's 1533-position model. The record is from RNAcentral.
UAACUCCGUGCCAGCAGCCGCGGUAAUACGGAGGGUGCGAGCGUUAAUCGGAAGUUACUGGGCGUAAAGACGCAUGCAGGUGGUUUGGUUUAAGUUCAGAUGUGAAAGACCCGGGGCGUCAACCUCGGAAUAGCAUUUGUAAACUAGGCAGACUAGAGUACUGUAGAGGGGGGUAGGAAGUUUCAGGUGUAGCGGUGAAAUGCGUAGAGAUCUGAAGGAAUACCGGUGGCGAAGGCGGCCCCCUCGGACAGAUACUGACACUCAGAUGCGAAAGCGUGGGGAGCAAACAGGAUUAGAUACCCCUGGUAG